Molecule: ribosomal RNA, 512 nt
Filed under: uncultured bacterium
Lineage: Bacteria
Description: bacterial SSU rRNA
Rfam family: Bacterial small subunit ribosomal RNA
Source: RNAcentral
UUUGAUCUUGGUUCAGGAUGAACGCUAGCGGCAGGCUUAACACAUGCAAGUCGAGGGGCAUCGGGAGUAGCAAUACUUGCCGGCGACCGGCGCAAGGGUGCGUAACGCGUGAGCAACAUGCCCGUAUCAGGGGGAUAAUCCAUGGAAACGUGGUCUAAUACCCCAUAGUAAUUAUGUAAGGCAUCUUAUAUAAUUUAAAGCUUUGGUGGAUACGGAUUGGCUCGCGUGACAUUAGCCAGAUGGUAAGGUAACGGCUUACCAUGGCUACGAUGUCUAGGGGUUCUGAGAGGAAGGUCCCCCACACUGGAACUGAGACACGGUCCAGACUCCUACGGGAGGCAGCAGUGAGGAAUAUUGGACAAUGGAUGGAAAUCUGAUCCAGCCAUGCCGCGUGCAAGGAAGACGGCCCUAUGGGUUGUAAACUGCUUUUGUAUGGGAGCAAUAAGGGCUACGUGUAGUCCGAUGAGAGUACCAUACGAAUAAGCACCGGCUAACUCCGUGCCAGCCGCCGC